This 497-nucleotide ribosomal RNA is filed under the name uncultured bacterium. Its description in RNAcentral is "partial 16S ribosomal RNA". It matches the Rfam family "Bacterial small subunit ribosomal RNA", at positions 28 to 507 of the family's 1533-position model. The record is from RNAcentral.
GAUGAACGCUGGCGGCGUGCCUAAUACAUGCAAGUCGAGCGAACAGACGAGGAGCUUGCUCCUCUGACGUUAGCGGCGGACGGGUGAGUAACACGUGGAUAACCUACCUAUAAGACUGGGAUAACUUCGGGAAACCGGAGCUAAUACCGGAUAAUAUAUUGAACCGCAUGGUUCAAUAGUGAAAGACGGUUUUGCUGUCACUUAUAGAUGGAUCCGCGCCGCAUUAGCUAGUUGGUAAGGUAACGGCUUACCAAGGCAACGAUGCGUAGCCGACCUGAGAGGCUGAUCGGCCACACUGGAACUGAGCCACGGUCCAGACUCCUACGGGAGGCAGCAGUAGGGAAUCGUCCGCAAAGGGCGAAAGCAUGACGGAGCAACGCCGCGUGAGUGAUGAAGGUCUUCGGAUCGUAAAACUCUGUUAUUAGGGAAGAACAAAUGUGUAAGUAACUAUGCACGUCUUGACGGUACCUAAUCAGAAAGCCACGGCUAACUACGUG